This is a non-coding RNA of Acanthosepion pharaonis, 104 nucleotides long. Lineage: Eukaryota; Metazoa; Mollusca; Cephalopoda; Sepiida; Sepiidae. The record is from the annotation of a GenBank genome assembly.
UUACGGUCAUAUCACGGUGAAACACUGGUUCCCGUAAUUUCGCUGAAGUUAAGCAACGUCGAGAUUGGUCAGUACCUAGAUGAGUGACCGCUUGGGAAUACCAG